CAUGUCUUUUUGAAUUUAAUUUAAAGUCAAAUCUGCUCCAUGAAAUUAUUUUAAAUAGCUGCAGUAUUUUGACUGUACAAAGGUAGCAUAAUCAAUAGUUUUUUAAUUGAAAGCUGGAAUGAAAGAUUUAAUAAGGUAAAUAUUGUCUCAAUUUUAAAAAAAUUAAAAAUUUUUUUAUAGUUAAAAUACUAUAUUGAAUUUAAAAGACGAGAAGACCCUAUAGAAUUUUAUAAUUUUUUAUUUAAUAAAAAUUUAUUUUUUAAUUUUUUAUUAAUAAAAAAUUAUUUGGUUGGGGAAAUUAUUAAAUUUAAAAAAUUUUAAUUAUUAAAAACCAAUAAUUAUUGAUUAUUUGAUCUUAAUUUUUAAAUUAUUAGAUUAAAUUACCUUAGGGAUAACAGCGUAAUUUUUUUCGGAGAGUUCAUAUUAAUGAAAAAGUUUGCGACCUCGAUGUUGAAUUAAGAUAAAAUUUUAAUGAAGAAGUUAAAAAUUUUUGGUCUGUUCGACCAUUAAAAUCUUACGUGAUC
This 524-nucleotide ribosomal RNA is filed under the name Zonocryptus luctor. RNAcentral's name for it is "partial 16S large subunit ribosomal RNA". The stretch from base 391 to 524 matches the Rfam family "Archaeal large subunit ribosomal RNA", at positions 2542 to 2674 of the family's 2987-position model. Lineage: Eukaryota; Metazoa; Arthropoda; Insecta; Hymenoptera; Ichneumonidae. The record is from RNAcentral.